Long non-coding RNA from Drosophila willistoni, 567 nucleotides. RefSeq lists it as uncharacterized. Lineage: Eukaryota; Metazoa; Arthropoda; Insecta; Diptera; Drosophilidae. The record is from RefSeq and is a predicted model, not a curated record. The transcript has 3 exons.
GCGUCCUAUAUCAUGAAAGCCUAUACCAGUAUCCUUUAAGGUAGUUCCUGAAGCUAAAAAUAACACCAUCCACAAACGAAGCAUUUAUAAGAUGAGCAGAAUUUUGGAACUGAAAAAAAAACAAAGUCUUUUAUAAAUAUUAACACUUUGUGCUUAUGGGGAAUGUCCUUUAAUCAAUCUUUUAUUUUUUAGGAUUGAAGUUCGAACUCAAAUAUGUUGCCCCGUACAGUCACUGCUGUAAUGGAAAUGCAGGAUUUGCUGAUGAUACAGCCAUCGGGUGAACCAAAACAAGUCUUCCUCGCCCCACAAUCAUUAUAAAUCACAUCCAUACGGGAACUGAUGACUACAUUGGAAGAUAUAAAUUCCGAAGGCGUGUAAGGAGCUUGAGUAGUGAAGUAUUUCAUAGUAGAACUGGGUAAUCGUGUGGUGGGUAGUUGAGCAGUCUCUACAAACAGAUCCCGUUUGACUACAUGGAUUGGAUUGGAAACCACGCCAGUCCAAAAUUUAUUAUAUGCUUCAGCCACAGUGGCGCUUUAAGAAAAUAAAGAUUAAAAACUACGCACUUAA